This 493-nucleotide ribosomal RNA is filed under the name uncultured bacterium. Its description in RNAcentral is "partial 16S ribosomal RNA". It matches the Rfam family "Bacterial small subunit ribosomal RNA", at positions 29 to 523 of the family's 1533-position model. The record is from RNAcentral.
AUUGAACGCUGGCGGCAUGCUUUACACAUGCAAGUCGAACGGUAACAGGUUAAGCUGACGAGUGGCGAACGGGUGAGUAAUGCAUCGGAACGUGCCCGAUCGUGGGGGAUAACGCAGCGAAAGCUGCGCUAAUACCGCAUACGAUCUGAGGAUGAAAGCGGGGGACCGUAAGGCCUCGCGCGAUCGGAGCGGCCGAUGUCAGAUUAGGUAGUUGGUGGGGUAAAGGCGCACCAAGCCAACGAUCUGUAGCUGGUCUGAGAGGACGACCAGCCACACUGGGACUGAGACACGGCCGAGACUCCUACGGGAGGCAGCAGUGGGGAAUUUUGGACAAUGGGCGAAAGCCUGAUCCAGCAAUGCCGCGUGCAGGAAGAAGGCCUUCGGGUUGUAAACUGCUUUUGUACGGAGCGAAAAGGUUCUCUCUAAUACAGAGGGCUCAUGACGGUACCGUAAGAAUAAGCACCGGCUAACUACGUGCCAGCCGCCGCCGUAA